Non-coding RNA from Vicugna pacos (alpaca), 359 nucleotides. The record is from RefSeq and is a predicted model, not a curated record. Lineage: Eukaryota; Metazoa; Chordata; Mammalia; Artiodactyla; Camelidae.
UUUUGUUGUCCUGACAUCUUCAGGUUCCUCUUGGCUGUGAAAUUCCUCGGACCUUCCUUGUUUUGGAUGACUUGGAUGGUUUGGAGGAGCGCUGGACAGAUUCACUGAAUCAGGUGCUGUGGUCAGGAAUCCACUUGGGGAAAAAAAAAAGACUGCAACUGAUUCUGAGGCUCAGACAAGUUUGAGCACCACCAGAAAAGGAUACUGAAUGGUCCACCUGCCCAGAGGGGAUGUGUACAAGCCAGGGUGGAUGCCAAGGCAGAUGGAUGAAAGCAGAGGCAAGAGGAUGGAUGGAGACGCACGGGGACCGAGAGCAGGGCCGACCUCCAGAUUUCAAAGCAAAAGAAGCGAAGUGGUGA